UACGUAGGUGACCAGCGUUGUCCGGAUUUACUGGGCGUAAAGAGCGCGCAGGCGGUCGUUCAAGUCGAGUGUGAAAGCCCCCGGCUCAACUGGGGAGGGUCAUUCGAUACUGAUCGACUUGAAGGCAGGAGAGGGAAGUGGAAUUCCCGGUGUAGUGGUGAAAUGCGUAGAUAUCUUCAGGACGGAUAAAGGUGAAAACAAACCUCUAUGUAUAAACAGACGUUGAGGGACGAAGGCAUUGUGUAACGAACAGG
This 254-nucleotide ribosomal RNA is filed under the name uncultured bacterium. RNAcentral describes it as "partial 16S ribosomal RNA". It matches the Rfam family "Bacterial small subunit ribosomal RNA", at positions 524 to 776 of the family's 1533-position model. The record is from RNAcentral.